AUUCCUGUACUACAGUAUGACAGAACUGUGGGGACGCAGAAGGAGAGCACUACCUGGAAUGGAAUCCAGGGGCAAGCACAGGAGGGGUACGGCUGGAAAAACCGCCGUUCAACCCAAAGGUGUGACGCAUACCGAACUAAAGUAGGGAAAUGUGUGAGCCGGCUGCCGAGAAAGCCGCUAUUGUUUGUACUGUACCCGUACCGUAAACCGACACAGGUGGAUGAGGAGAGAAUCCUAAGGCCGACGGAAGAAGCAUUGCUAAGGAACUCGGCAAAAUGACCCUGUAACUUCGGGAGAAAGGGUGCCUCGAAAGAGGCCGCAGAGAAUAGGCCCAAGCAACUGUUUAGCAAAAACACAGGUCUAUGCAAAACCGCAAGGUGAAGUAUAUGGGCUGACGCCUGCCCGGUGCUGGAAGGUUAAGGGGAGAUGUCAGGAGACGAAGCAUCGAACUUAAGCCCCAGUAAACGGCGGCCGUAACUAUAACGGUCCAAGGUAGCGAAAUUCCUUGUCGGGUAAGUUCCGACCCGCACGAAAGGCGUAAUGAUUUGGGCGCUGUCUCGGCAAUGCAUCCGGUGAAAUUGAAGUGCCAGUGAAGAUGCUGGCUACCCGCGCCAGGACGGAAAGACCCCAUGGAGCUUUACUCCAGCUUGAUACUGGGAUUCGGUAUUGUAUGUACAGGAUAGGUGGGAGGCUGAGAAAUGGUGACGCCAGUCGCCAUGGAGCCGCUGUUGGGAUACCACCCUUGCAGUACUGGAUUUCUAACCAGCAGCCGUGAUCCGGCUGGGGGACAAUGUCAGGUGGGGAGUUUGACUGGGGCGGUCGCCUCCGAACGGGUAUCGGAGGCGCUCAAAGGUUCCCUCAGAAUGGUCGGAAACCAUUCGAAGAGUGCAAAGGCAGAAGGGAGCUUGACUGCGACACCGACGGGUGGGGCAGGUACGAAAGUAGGACUUAGUGAUCCGGUGGUAUUAAGUGGGAAUGCCAUCGCUCAACGGAUAAAAGCUACCCUGGGAUAACAGGCUUAUCACUCCCAAGAGUUCACAUCGACGGAGUGGUUUGGCACCUCGAUGUCGGCUCAUCGCAUCCUGGGGCUGUAGUAGGUCCCAAGGGUUGGGCUGUUCGCCCAUUAAAGCGGUACGCGAGCUGGGUUCAGAACGUCGUGAGACAGUUCGGUCCCUAUCCGGCGUGGGCGUAGGAUAUUUGAGAGGAGCUGACCUUAGUACGAGAGGACCGGGUUGGACUGACCUCUGGUGCACCGGUUGUCAUGCCAAUGGCACAGCCGGGUAGCCAAGUCGGGAAGGGAUAAACGCUGAAGGCAUCUAAGCGUGAAGCCCCCCUCAAGAUGAGAUAUCCCCCGCAUAAGCGGUAAGACCCCUUGAAGACGACGAGGUAGAUAGGGCAGAGGUGGAAGUGCAGUAAUGUAUGGAGCUGACUGCUACUAAUAGGUCGAAGGCUU
RNAcentral lists this ribosomal RNA (1453 nucleotides) under metagenome. RNAcentral's name for it is "bacterial LSU rRNA". It matches the Rfam family "Bacterial large subunit ribosomal RNA", at positions 1435 to 2925 of the family's 2925-position model. The record is from RNAcentral.